RNAcentral lists this ribosomal RNA (429 nucleotides) under Bacillota bacterium. RNAcentral describes it as "Firmicutes bacterium partial 16S ribosomal RNA". It matches the Rfam family "Bacterial small subunit ribosomal RNA", at positions 355 to 776 of the family's 1533-position model. Lineage: Bacteria; Bacillati; Bacillota. The record is from RNAcentral.
UAGGGAAUCUUCGGCAAUGGACGGAAGUCUGACCGAGCAACGCCGCGUGUGUGAAGAAGGUUUUCGGAUCGUAAAGCUCUGUUGUUAGAGAAGAACGUUGGUAGGAGUGGAAAAUCUACCAAGUGACGGUAACUAACCAGAAAGGGACGGCUAACUACGUGCCAGCAGCCGCGGUAAUACGUAGGUCCCGAGCGUUGUCUGGCUUUAUUGGGCGUAAAGUGUGCGCAGGCGGGUCUUUAAGUCUGAAAAUAAAGGCAGUGGAUUAACCAAUGUACGGUUUGGAAUCGGGGGGACUUGAGUGCAGAAGGGGGGAGUGGAAUUCCGUGUGUAGCGGUGAAAUGCGGAGAUAUAGGGAGGAACACCGGUGGCGAAAGCGGCUCUGUGGUCUGUAACUGACGCUGAGGCUCGAAAGCGUGGGGAGCAAACAGG